AGAAGAUAAACCUACUCAGCCCCAGUAAUUUCAAUGAUAGUUGGACUCCACAAUGCUUUUUGAAUCGUAAUUUCAAGGUUGUCCAUCCAUUAUGUCGAUAGCUCUGCCCAAAUAAAAUACAUCCAUUGCUAUCCCCUAAACUUCACCCCCUUCUCUCCAUCAUCUUCUAGUCUGGUCUCCUUCCCCAACGUCCUUUUGGAAACAAAUUUUGCAGAUUCGGGUCUUCUUGAACCAGAGAUGGAACAUUAUUGUGAAGGAUCGUCUUCGAGGCCAGCAAUUUGUCUCUGAGGCCCCAAACCACCACUCCGGACACAAAUUUGAAAGUUCUUUUGUCAAACGCCAUGUCAAAGUGCACUUUAACCGUUGUUGUCUUCCUGUUAUAGACACCUGCUCAUGGACAAGCUGGUUUCUGGAAUACUAGAUAAGCCAUAAAGCAUAACAGAAAAGUCGACUCUGCUCCUCGGACCCUUUCAUGAAUACCCAGGACAGUGUCUGCAUAUGUGAGAGCAUCCUCAUCCCCCGAGCUACAACGGAGGCAUUGGAUGUUCGUGAGUACCCUUUUACACCUAAGGCUGACAAACGUGGGCAUGUAAUUCUAGGAAAUAUGCCAGAUCGUUAUUGCAACUUUUGUGGGAAGCUGUAAACUCCAUAGUUUGCUGUAAAUUUUUUAGAUUCGGCCUGUAAUAAAUAACUUCUAGAAUCUAGUAAAGAAUUCUGUAAUAGUUUAUAGGCACUACGUACAGAAAACUCUCCCGACUAUUCUCCCUUCCAAACUUGAAAAUCCGCAUGACUAGUUCCUGCAAUAGGGAUCUGCAAUAUUUUGUGAGCUACUUCUUCAUUAAAGCAUAAUCCAUCUUGAAGAAGUCCUUUUGCCGCCCAAAUUCUCUUUCAGGUAAGGGAAGGACGUGAAGUCGAACGUGAUGAAAAGCUUCUGACAACCAGCAGAUUGAUGCUAAUCUCUAUACUCCAGACAGAUCUGGAAAAUGAAAAUAAUAGAACACCGAUUGAAAAAAACCUAAACGCAUACCAGGGGCGGCAAACAAGAAACGUGCUAGGGUAGCAGACUUUUUUUUAAAAAUAAUUUCACAACAAUUUAAAUAUACCUACCAACUUUGCAUAAGAAUUUUAAACAAAUUAAAAGUCUCAAAUAA
Molecule: long non-coding RNA, 1151 nt
Organism: Gossypium arboreum
Lineage: Eukaryota; Viridiplantae; Streptophyta; Magnoliopsida; Malvales; Malvaceae
Exons: 6
Source: RefSeq, a predicted model, not a curated record